UACGAAGGGGGCUAGCGUUGCUCGGAAUUACUGGGCGUAAAGGGCGCGUAGGCGGAUAUUUAAGUUAGAGGUGAAAGCCCAGGGCUCAACCCUGGAAUAGCCUUUAAUACUGGAUAUCUUGAGUUCGGGAGAGGUGAGUGGAACUCCGAGUGUAGAGGUGAAAUUCGUAGAUAUUCGGAAGAACACCAGAAGCGAAGGCGGCUCACUGGCCCGAGACUGACGCUGAGGCGCGAAAGCGUGGGGAGCAAACAGG
Molecule: ribosomal RNA, 253 nt
Filed under: uncultured bacterium
Lineage: Bacteria
Description: partial 16S ribosomal RNA
Rfam family: Bacterial small subunit ribosomal RNA
Source: RNAcentral